AAACUUUACAAUGCUGGCAACAGCGAUAAGGGGACCUCGAGUGCCAGGAUACAAUCCUGGCUGUCGUAAUGCCUAAAAAGCAUUGCAUAGCAAGGGCCGGGCAAGACCGGUGCCAGCCGCCGCGGUAACACCGGCGGCUCGAGUGGUAACCGUUAUUAUUGGGUCUAAAGGGUCUGUAGCCGGCUGGAUAAGUCUCUUGGGAAAUCUGGCAGCUUAACUGUCAGGCUUUCAGGAGAUACUGUUCGGCUCGAGACCGGGAGAGGUAAGAGGUACCUCAGGGGUAGGGGUGAAAUCUUGUAAUCCUUGAGGGACCACCAGUGGCGAAGGCGUCUUACCAGAACGGAUCUGACGGCAAGGGACGAAAGCUAGGGGCACGAACCGG
Molecule: ribosomal RNA, 382 nt
Filed under: uncultured archaeon
Lineage: Archaea
Description: bacterial SSU rRNA
Rfam family: Archaeal small subunit ribosomal RNA
Source: RNAcentral